Molecule: ribosomal RNA, 398 nt
Filed under: uncultured bacterium
Lineage: Bacteria
Description: bacterial SSU rRNA
Rfam family: Bacterial small subunit ribosomal RNA
Source: RNAcentral
GGAAUUUUGCGCAAUGGGCGAAAGCCUGACGCAGCAACGCCGCGUGGGGGAAGAAGGCUCUUGGGUCGUAAACCCCUUUUGCCGGGGAAGAUCGUGACGGUACCCGGCGAAUAAGCCACGGCUAACUACGUGACAGCAGCCGCGGUAAUACGUAGGUGGCAAGCGUUGUCCGGAUUUACUGGGCGUAAAGCGCGCGCAGGCGGUCUGUCGCGUCCGAGGUGAAAUCUCCCGGCUCAACUGGGAGGGGUCUUCGGAUACGGGCAGACUUGAGGAGAGCAGAGGUGAGCGGAAUUCUCGGUGUAGUGGUGAAAUGCGUAGAUAUCGAGAGGAACACCAGUGGCGAAGGCGGCUCACUGGGCUCCACCUGACGCUGAGGCGCGAAAGCGUGGGGAGCGAAC